AUGCACGCUGGCGGCGUGCCUCAUACCUGCAAGUCGAGCGAACAGACGAGGAGCUUGCUCCUCUGACGUUAGCGGCGGACGGGUGAGUAACACGUGGAUAACCUACCUAUAAGACUGGGAUAACUUCGGGAAACCGGAGCUAAUACCGGAUAAUAUAUUGAACCGCAUGGUUCAAUAGUGAAAGACGGUUUUGCUGUCACUUAUAGAUGGAUCCGCGCCGCAUUAGCUAGUUGGUAAGGUAACGGCUUACCAAGGCAACGAUGCGUAGCCGACCUGGGAGGGGGGUCGGACAGCCUUGAACGGAGACACCGUCCAAACCCCCAACGGAGGACACAGGAGGGAAAUUUCCCAAAUGGGACGAAGCCUGACGGAGCAACGCCGCGUGAGUGAUGAAGGUCUUCGGAUCGUAAAACUCUGUUAUUAGGGAAGAACAAAUGUGUAAGUAACUAUGCACGUCUUGACGGUACCUAAUCAGAAAGCCACGGCUAACUACGUG
RNAcentral lists this ribosomal RNA (496 nucleotides) under uncultured bacterium. RNAcentral's name for it is "partial 16S ribosomal RNA". It matches the Rfam family "Bacterial small subunit ribosomal RNA", at positions 29 to 507 of the family's 1533-position model. The record is from RNAcentral.